UACGUAGGGUGCGAGCGUUAAUCGGAAUUACUGGGCGUAAAGUGUGCGCAGGCGGCCGAGCAAGUCGUGUGUGAAAGCCCCGGGCUUAACUUGGGAAUUGCGCUCGAAACUACUUGGCUAGAGUGUGGCAGAGGAAGGUGGAAUUCCACGUGUAGCGGUGAAAUGCGUAGAGAUGUGGAGGAACACCGAUGGCGAAGGCAGCCUUCUGGGCCAACACUGACGCUCAUGCACGAAAGCGUGGGGAGCAAACAGG
Molecule: ribosomal RNA, 253 nt
Filed under: uncultured bacterium
Lineage: Bacteria
Description: partial 16S ribosomal RNA
Rfam family: Bacterial small subunit ribosomal RNA
Source: RNAcentral